CCUACGGGAGGCAGCAGUGAGGAAUAUUGGUCAAUGGCCGGAAGGCUGAACCAGCCAUGCCGCGUGAACGUCAGUGCCCUAUGGGCGUUAAACUUCUUUUGUGCGGGAGCAAUAAUGGUCACGUGUGGCCAGACGAGAGUACCGUACGAAUAAGCAUCGGCUAACUCCGUGCCAGCAGCCGCGGUAAUACGGGGGAUGCAAGCGUUAUCCGGAUUUAUUGGGUUUAAAGGGUGCGUAGGCUGUGAGGUAAGUCAGCGGUGAAAUGCCCCCGCUCAACGGGGUGAAGUGCCAUUGAUACUGCCUGGCUGGAAUGCGGAUGCCGUGGGAGGAAUGUGUGGUGUAGCGGUGAAAUGCAUAGAUAUCACACAGAACACCGAUUGCGAAGGCAUCUCACGAAUCCGCGAUUGACGCUGAUGCACGAAAGCGUGGGUAUCAAACAGGAUUAGAUACCCCAGUAGUC
This 460-nucleotide ribosomal RNA is filed under the name uncultured bacterium. RNAcentral's name for it is "partial 16S ribosomal RNA". It matches the Rfam family "Bacterial small subunit ribosomal RNA", at positions 338 to 795 of the family's 1533-position model. The record is from RNAcentral.